Molecule: ribosomal RNA, 429 nt
Filed under: uncultured archaeon
Lineage: Archaea
Description: bacterial SSU rRNA
Rfam family: Archaeal small subunit ribosomal RNA
Source: RNAcentral
UACCAGCUCUCCGAGUGGUAGGGAUGAUUAUUGGGCUUAAAGCGUCCGUAGCCGGCUUAGCAAGUCUCCUGUUAAAUUCAGCGACCUAAUCGUUGAGCCGCGGGAGAUACUACUAGGCUAGGAGGCGGGAGAGGUCAACGGUACUUCCGGGGUAGGGGUGAAAUCCUAUAAUCCCGGGAGGACCACCAGUGGCGAAGGCUGUUGACUAGAACGCGCUCGACGGUGAGGGACGAAAGCUGGGGGAGCGAACCGGAUUAGAUACCCGGGUAGUCCCAGCUGUAAACGAUGCGAGCUAGGUGUUGGGGUGGCUACGUGCCACUUCAGUGCCGCAGGGAAGCCAUUAAGCUCGCCACCGUGGGGGGUACGUCGCAAGGCUGAAACUUAAAGGAUUGGGCGGGGGAGCACCACAAGGCGUGAAGCUUGCGGUUC